CUACGGGGCGCAGCAGUGAGGAAUUUUGCGCAAUGGGGGAAACCCUGACGCAGCAACGCCGCGUGAGUGAAGAAGGCUUUCGGGUCGUAAAGCUCUGUCAGAUAGGAAAAAAGUUCAUAUGUAAAUAGCUUAUGAAUCUGAUGGUACUAUCAGAGGAAGCACCGGCUAACUCCGUGCCAGCAGCCGCGGUAAUACGGAGGGUGCAAGCGUUGUUCGGAAUUACUGGGCGUAAAGGGCGUGUAGGCGGUAUGGUAAGUCAGAUGUGAAAGCCAUGGGCUUAACUCAGGAAGUGCAUUUGAUACUGCCAUCCUUGAGUAUGGGAGAGGAGAGUAGAAUUCCCAGUGUAGAGGUGAAAUUCGUAGAUAUUGGGAGGAAUACCCGUGGCGAAGGCGACUCUCUGGACCAAUACUGACGCUGAGACGCGAAAGCGUGGGGAGCAAACAGGAUUAGAUACCCCUGUAGUC
Molecule: ribosomal RNA, 464 nt
Filed under: uncultured bacterium
Lineage: Bacteria
Description: partial 16S ribosomal RNA
Rfam family: Bacterial small subunit ribosomal RNA
Source: RNAcentral